AACGAACGCUGGCGGCAGGCUUAACACAUGCAAGUCGAGCGAGACCUUCGUGUCUAGUGGCGGACGGGUGAGUAACGCGUGGGACCGUGCCCUUCUCCACGGAAAACUACCGGGACACUGGGAGUAAUACCGUAUACGUUCCUCUGGGGACAGAUACAACGGAGAAGUGACGGCCCGCGUUCGUUAAGUUUAUCGCGGAAGGAUUGGCCGAUCAAGGAUUAGCUCGUUGGCUGGGUAAAGGCCCACCACAGCGACGAUGCGUACCUUGUCUGAGAGGAUGAGCAGCCACUCUGGGACUGGGACGCGGCCCAGACUCCUACGGGAGGCAGCAGUGGGGAAUCUUAGACAAUGGCGGCAACCCUGAUCGAGCCAGGCCGGGUGAGUGAUGAAGGCCGUAGAGUUGUAAAGCUCUUUCAGCUGGGAAGGUAAUGACGGUACCAACAGAAGAAGCCCCGGCUAACUCCGUG
This 467-nucleotide ribosomal RNA is filed under the name uncultured bacterium. Its description in RNAcentral is "partial 16S ribosomal RNA". It matches the Rfam family "Bacterial small subunit ribosomal RNA", at positions 29 to 507 of the family's 1533-position model. The record is from RNAcentral.